This 223-nucleotide ribosomal RNA is filed under the name uncultured bacterium. Its description in RNAcentral is "partial 16S ribosomal RNA". It matches the Rfam family "Bacterial small subunit ribosomal RNA", at positions 15 to 228 of the family's 1533-position model. The record is from RNAcentral.
GAUCAUGGCUCAGGAUGAACGCUGGCGGCAUGCCUAAUACAUGCAAGUCGAACGAGAGGAAGGAAAGCUUGCUUUUCUGAAUCUAGUGGCGAACGGGUGAGUAAUACAUAAGUAACCUGGCAUCUACAGGGGGAUAACUGAUGGAAACGUCAGCUAAGACCGCAUAGGUGUAGAGAUCGCAUGAACUCUAUAUGAAAAGUGCUACGGGACUGGUAGAUGAUGG